Molecule: ribosomal RNA, 329 nt
Filed under: uncultured eukaryote
Lineage: Eukaryota
Description: partial 18S ribosomal RNA
Rfam family: Eukaryotic small subunit ribosomal RNA
Source: RNAcentral
CCCUUAGAUGUUCUGGGCCGCACGCGCGCUACACUGGUACGUUCAACAAGUUUACAACCUUGAUCGAUAGGUCUGGGUAAUCUUUUUAAUGCGUACCGUGCUAGGGAUAGAUUAUUGCAAUUAUUAAUCUUGAACGAGGAAUUCCUAGUAAACGCAAGUCAUCAGCUUGCAUUGAUUACGUCCCUGCCCUUUGUACACACCGCCCGUCGCACCUACUGAUUGAAUGACUCGGUGAAAAAUUGGGACUGUGAGAACAAUCGAUUCAGUUCGAAUGUACUCGUGGAAACUUUUUUUAACCUCGCCAUUUAGAAGAAGGUGANGUCGUGACA